Molecule: ribosomal RNA, 253 nt
Filed under: uncultured bacterium
Lineage: Bacteria
Description: partial 16S ribosomal RNA
Rfam family: Bacterial small subunit ribosomal RNA
Source: RNAcentral
UACAGAGGGGGCAAGCGUUGUUCGGAAUUACUGGGCGUAAAGGGCGCGUAGGCGGCCUGUUAAGUCGGACGUGAAAUCCCUCGGCUUAACCGGGGAACUGCGUCCGAUACUGGUUGGCUUGAGUUUGGGAGAGGGAUGCGGAAUUCCAGGUGUAGCGGUGAAAUGCGUAGAGAUCGGGAGGAACACCGGUGGCGAAGGCGGGUCUCUGGGCAUUUCCUGACGCUGAGGCGCGAAAGCGUGGGGAGCAAACGGG